GUAUCAUGGACCUAAGGUAUGCCAUCUUGCCCUGUCAGGUGCUUGUUGUUUGUGUUGUUGUCUCUAUUAGCCUUCCAUUGCUUUCAGUAUAUUUUGUUUAUAUUUUGUGCAAUGGGUGCCAAAUAACUGUUGUGCUCUGGGGCGAACGUGCUACAACCUUUCAGGGAGACUACAUUAUCGAGUUGGGCUCGACUGAACCAGUGGUUGCACUAUUUGUUGGAACUCUGGUGAAGGCCUAUGAAGGUAAGAACUCUUGUUAGGUUGACUAGAUGGCUACUCUUUUGCCCAUGUCUGUUUAUGUGACGUGCUAUGUCUUUGGUUGCGGUCUGUAGGUCGAAGGGGUGUGAGCGGAAGUGCAGCGUGUUGGUGGUACAUAAAUGAUGACACUUCUGAGAUGAUAGACUUCCAUAAGAGGUACAUGCUAUCUUUUUUAUCUCCGUGCUAAUCAUGUGCUGUCCUUUGCCUGAUUUGGUUAUAUGCUUAUGUUCUUGAUCUUAUUGCUAAAGGCUCCAGGGCAAGUUCUCUCCUGUAGAAAAGAUUGUCCUCCAGGGACAGACAACAACUAUGCAUUUGCCUUGACCGUAUUGAUCUACUGCCGCAUGUA
RNAcentral lists this long non-coding RNA (604 nucleotides) under Triticum aestivum (bread wheat). Its description in RNAcentral is "long non-coding RNA (TAES_LNC015029)". The record is from RNAcentral. Lineage: Eukaryota; Viridiplantae; Streptophyta; Magnoliopsida; Poales; Poaceae.